This is a ribosomal RNA of Oncorhynchus mykiss (rainbow trout), 119 nucleotides long. NCBI's taxonomy places the organism in Eukaryota, Metazoa, Chordata, Actinopteri, Salmoniformes, Salmonidae. The record is from Ensembl.
GCUUACGUCCACACCGGCCUGAGUACGCCUGAUCUCGUCCGAUCUCGGAAGCUAAGCAGGGUCGGGCCUGGUUAGUACUUGGAUGGGAGACCGCCUGGGAAUACCAGGUGCUGUAAGCU